This 84-nucleotide ribosomal RNA is filed under the name Barnesiella sp. Lineage: Bacteria; Pseudomonadati; Bacteroidota; Bacteroidia; Bacteroidales; Barnesiellaceae. The record is from RNAcentral.
CACCUCUUCCCAUUCCGAACAGAGAAGUUAAACCUUACCACGCCGAUGAUACUGCGAAAGCGGGAAAGUAGGUAACCGCCCCCU